Long non-coding RNA from Salvelinus sp. IW2-2015, 1486 nucleotides. RefSeq lists it as uncharacterized. The record is from RefSeq and is a predicted model, not a curated record. NCBI's taxonomy places the organism in Eukaryota, Metazoa, Chordata, Actinopteri, Salmoniformes, Salmonidae.
CUCAGUGCAAGAGGCAACACUGCAGUCCCUGAUUCGAAUCCAGGCCGCAUCACAUCCGGCUGUGAUUGGGAGUACAAUAGCCCUUAUCCACAUUCUAUGAAUCGAACGUUCUAAACACACUUCCUAUCUGUUUGGCAAUUUCCGACGAAAUAACGUUACUACCACUAUGUCGCAGUUUUUUACUAGGUGUCCUUCAGGACUUGCCUCAAAUUAAUAUUAAUGAUGUACAUCGAAUUGUUAAAUCAGCCUCCGAGACUCCAGCUAGCAAGAAUGAAAAGGGGUUCAAGAUGUAUAUAUGAAGCUACAUAGACAACUAUGAAGAUGGUGUUUAAGCACUCCGUACCAGUGAUAGUGGUCCAAAGCCACUGCUCCUGUGUUGCAGGAAGUGCUCUGUGCAAUCAUCUGGUGGCUCUUCUUUACCAGACAGCACACUACUCUCAACUAAACAUUCCUGCUGCACCACCAGUUCACAGCUGCACAGACACAGAACAGCGUUGGCACAAGCCAAGAACACAAGAAAAGUAUUCAGCCUAUGUAACAGUAAAUCCUUGUUAAUUAGGGUGUGAAACCAGGUCCGGUUGAUGGGAUAGAGUUCAGUAAACCUACUAACUCGUGUGCUGAUGGAAUAAGAAGUUCUCUCUACAAAGCACUCAAUGGAUACAUGCCUGACAUGGACCUACUCCACGUCUCAGAAACAUAUGCCAACUUUUCUCCACUUACUGCCCCUCUUGUGACAACAAUGGAAAUGUCAGCUGACGUGCCCCUGGUUGAAUCCACCUUUGUGCAAGCCGGCAGUGUUCUGUCCUAUCAGCUUCCACAGCCAAAGACCCUUGAAAUUGUGAAGAUUGCCGAUGCCACUUCUCCACCAAUACUUCCGUUAGAUGGCUUCAGGCUUCCUAGUGUGCUUACGUCCUUAGCCAUCAGCAGUUCCACCUCAAGGCAUUAGAGACAACCUACGAGAUGUCAUACAAAGUCCAGGUUGCUACAAGGGAGCAGAGCAGCAGCCUGGAAUGGCAUCAGCUCAGGAAAAUGAGAAUAACAUCCUCGUUUCCGAGCGGUUUGCCAUGUCCGGGGAGAGACCUCAGCUGACCACCUAGCUGAGCGGAUGUUCAAGGGAUCUGGUAUGCAGACCAUGGAGAUGAAGAGGGGGCUGGCCAUGGAGCCAGUGGCUGUACAGGAGUACUACACACUGAAGAAUGUUAACUUCUUUCCGUGUGGCUUCGUAGUGCACCCAGAUGCUCCGUGGUUAGGAUCCUCUCCAGAUGGCAUCAUAUUUGAUCCCAGUGUAAGACCACACUUUGGACUCUUAGAGGUCAAGUGCCCAAAUGUACCAAGUUAUGUUGACUGCCCUUACCUGAAGAUACAGAAUAGAGAGCUGAAGUUGAAGAGAUCGCAUGCUUACUACUGGCAGGUGCAAGGUCAAAUCCUUCUCACAGGUUGUAGCUGGUGUGACCYUUGUCAUCUGUGCAMAGGAGGACAUCCUAGU